CGGAGGGUGCAAGCGUUGUUCGGAAUUAUUGGGCGUAAAGCGCGUGUAGGCGGCUAUCUAAGUCUGGUGUGAAAGCCCUCGGCUUAACCGAGGAAGUGCAUUGGAUACUGGAUAGCUAGAGGAUGAGAGAGGAGAGUAGAAUUCCCGGUGUAGGGGUGAAAUCCGUAGAGAUCGGGAGGAAUACCAGAGGCGAAGGCGGCUCUCUGGCUCAUAUCUGACGCUGAGACGCGAAAGCGUGGGGAGCAAACAGGAUUAGAUACCCUGGUAGUCCACGCCCUAAACGAUGGAUACUAGUCGUCGGGAAUCCUAAUCGUCUCGGUGACGAAGCUAACGCAUUAAGUAUCCCGCCUGGGAAGUACGGUCGCAAGAUUA
RNAcentral lists this ribosomal RNA (372 nucleotides) under uncultured organism. RNAcentral describes it as "bacterial SSU rRNA". It matches the Rfam family "Bacterial small subunit ribosomal RNA", at positions 526 to 896 of the family's 1533-position model. The record is from RNAcentral.